UACAGAGGUCCCAAGCGUUGUUCGGAUUCACUGGGCGUAAAGGGUGCGUAGGUGGCCAGGUAAGUUCGGUGUGAAAGCUCGGAGCUUAACUCCGAAAUGUCAUUGAAUACUAUCUGGCUGGAGGGUCGGAGGGGAGACUGGAAUUCUCGGUGUAGCAGUGAAAUGCGUAGAUAUCGAGAGGAACACCAGUGGCGAAGGCGGCCUUCUGGACCAGCACUGACACUCAAGCACGGAAAGCGUGGGGAGCAAACAGG
This 254-nucleotide ribosomal RNA is filed under the name uncultured bacterium. RNAcentral's name for it is "partial 16S ribosomal RNA". It matches the Rfam family "Bacterial small subunit ribosomal RNA", at positions 524 to 776 of the family's 1533-position model. The record is from RNAcentral.